RNAcentral lists this transfer RNA (107 nucleotides) under Olea europaea subsp. europaea. It matches the Rfam family "tRNA". From Rfam's summary of the family: Transfer RNA (tRNA) molecules are approximately 80 nucleotides in length. Their secondary structure includes four short double-helical elements and three loops (D, anti-codon, and T loops). Further hydrogen bonds mediate the characteristic L-shaped molecular structure. tRNAs have two regions of fundamental functional importance: the anti-codon, which is responsible for specific mRNA codon recognition, and the 3' end, to which the tRNAs corresponding amino acid is attached (by aminoacyl-tRNA synthetases). tRNAs cope with the degeneracy of the genetic code in two manners: having more than one tRNA (with a specific anti-codon) for a particular amino acid; and 'wobble' base-pairing, i.e. permitting non-standard base-pairing at the 3rd anti-codon position. Lineage: Eukaryota; Viridiplantae; Streptophyta; Magnoliopsida; Lamiales; Oleaceae. The record is from Rfam by way of RNAcentral.
GUGGAGAUGGCCGAGUUGGUCUAAGGCACCAAAUUAAGGUUCUGGUCCAAGGCGCCAGAUUAAGGUUCUGGUCCGAAAGGGCGUGGGUUCAAAUCCCACUCUCCACA